RNAcentral lists this ribosomal RNA (405 nucleotides) under Coxiella burnetii. Its description in RNAcentral is "bacterial SSU rRNA". It matches the Rfam family "Bacterial small subunit ribosomal RNA", at positions 886 to 1290 of the family's 1533-position model. The record is from RNAcentral. Lineage: Bacteria; Pseudomonadati; Pseudomonadota; Gammaproteobacteria; Legionellales; Coxiellaceae.
CCGCAAGGUUAAAACUCAAAGAAAUUGACGGGGGCCCGCACAAGCGGUGGAGCAUGUGGUUUAAUUCGAUGCAACGCGAAAAACCUUACCUACCCUUGACAUCCUCGGAACUUGUCAGAGAUGAUUUGGUGCCUUCGGGAAUCGAGUGACAGGUGCUGCAUGGCUGUCGUCAGCUCGUGUCGUGAGAUGUUGGGUUAAGUCCCGUAACGAGCGCAACCCUCGUCCUUAGUUGCCAGCGAGUCAAGUCGGGAACUCUAAGGAGACUGCCGGUGAUAAACCGGAGGAAGGUGGGGAUGAUGUCAAGUCAUCAUGGCCCUUACGGGUAGGGCUACACACGUGCUACAAUGGGCAGUACAAAGGGUUGCCAAGCCGCGAGGUGGAGCUAAUCCCAGAAAACUGCUCGUA